GGACGCAUGGUGUAGUUUGGAUAUCACUCCGGCCUUCUAAGCCGGAAACCCGGGUUCGAAUCCUGGUGCGUCCGCCA
RNAcentral lists this transfer RNA (77 nucleotides) under Euryarchaeota archaeon TMED141. Its description in RNAcentral is "tRNA-Arg". It matches the Rfam family "tRNA". Rfam says of the family: Transfer RNA (tRNA) molecules are approximately 80 nucleotides in length. Lineage: Archaea; Methanobacteriati; Methanobacteriota. RNAcentral also lists the same sequence under 3 other names. The record is from RNAcentral.